AGGGAAUCUUCGGCAAUGGACGGAAGUCUGACCGAGCAACGCCGCGUGAGUGAAGAAGGUUUUCGGAUCGUAAAGCUCUGUUGUAAGAGAAGAACGAGUGUGAGAGUGGAAAGUUCACACUGUGACGGUAACUUACCAGAAAGGGACGGCUAACUACGUGCCAGCAGCCGCGGUAAUACGUAGGUCCCGAGCGUUAUCCGGAUUUAUUGGGCGUAAAGCGAGCGCAGGCGGUUAGAUAAGUCUGAAGUUAAAGGCUGUGGCUUAACCAUAGUACGCUUUGGAAACUGUUUAACUUGAGUGCAGAAGGGGAGAGUGGAAUUCCAUGUGUAGCGGUGAAAUGCGUAGAUAUAUGGAGGAGCACCGGUGGCGAAAGCGGCUCUCUGGUCUGUAACUGACGCUGAGGCUCGAAAGCGUGGGGAGCAAACAGGAUUAGAUACCCUGGUAGUCCACGCCGUAAACGAUGAGUGCUAGGUGUUGGGUCCUUUCCGGGACUCAGUGCCGCAGCUAACGCAUUAAGCACUCCGCCUGGGGAGUACGACCGCAAGGUUG
Molecule: ribosomal RNA, 549 nt
Filed under: uncultured bacterium
Lineage: Bacteria
Description: bacterial SSU rRNA
Rfam family: Bacterial small subunit ribosomal RNA
Source: RNAcentral